AGGACGAACGCUGGCGGCGUGCUUAACACAUGCAAGUCGAGCGGUAAGGCCUCUUCGGGGGUACACGAGCGGCGAACGGGUGAGUAACACGUGAGCAAUCUGCCCUUCACUUCGGGAUAAGCCUCGGAAACGGGGUCUAAUACCGGAUAUGACCGUGCCAUGCAUGUGGUGUGGUGGAAAGUUCUGGCGGUGGAGGAUGAGCUCGCGGCCUAUCAGCUUGUUGGUGGGGUAAUGGCCUACCAAGGCUUCGACGGGUAGCCGGCCUGAGAGGGUGACCGGCCACACUGGGACUGAGACACGGCCCAGACUCCUACGGGAGCAGCAGUGGGAAUAUUGGACAAUGGGCGAAAGCCUGAUCCAGCAACGCCGCGUGAGGAUGACGGCUUCGGGUGUAAACCUCUUCAGCGCGACGAAGCGAGAGUGACGGUAGGCGCAGAAGACGCACCGGUCAACGUACGUGCCAGCAGCCGAC
RNAcentral lists this ribosomal RNA (472 nucleotides) under uncultured soil bacterium. RNAcentral describes it as "bacterial SSU rRNA". It matches the Rfam family "Bacterial small subunit ribosomal RNA", at positions 26 to 518 of the family's 1533-position model. The record is from RNAcentral.